CAAGCAGAGAAGCAGCACUUUAUCUCUGUGUCUAUACCAACCAUGCUGAGCCUUCAGACGCUUCAGGAUGCCAGGAUGUUGAGACUUUUCCCAGGCCUGCUCUCAGUCCUUCUUCUCUUGACCUCAUCAUCACCUGCUGCAGGUGUGCAGAUCAGAUUAUCUGCUUCUGGAUCUACUCGGUGCUCUGGAAGAG
Long non-coding RNA from Larimichthys crocea (large yellow croaker), 193 nucleotides. RefSeq lists it as uncharacterized. The transcript is spliced from 3 exons. The record is from RefSeq and is a predicted model, not a curated record. Lineage: Eukaryota; Metazoa; Chordata; Actinopteri; Sciaenidae.